This 448-nucleotide ribosomal RNA is filed under the name uncultured Mesorhizobium sp. RNAcentral's name for it is "bacterial SSU rRNA". It matches the Rfam family "Bacterial small subunit ribosomal RNA", at positions 939 to 1382 of the family's 1533-position model. Lineage: Bacteria; Pseudomonadati; Pseudomonadota; Alphaproteobacteria; Hyphomicrobiales; Phyllobacteriaceae. The record is from RNAcentral.
AUGUGGUUUAAUUCGAAGCAACGCGCAGAACCUUACCAGCCCUUUGGACAUCCCGGUCGCGGUUACCAGAGAUGGUAUCCUUCAGUUCGGCUGGACCGGUGACAGGUGCUGCAUGGCUGUCGUCAGCUCGUGUCGUGAGAUGUUGGGUUAAGUCCCGCAACGAGCGCAACCCUUCGCCCUUAGUUGCCAGCAUUCAGUUGGGCACUCUAAGGGGACUGCCGGUGAUAAGCCGAGAGGAAGGUGGGAUGACGUCAAGUCCUCAUGGCCCUUACGGGCUGGGCUACACACGUGCUACAAUGGUGGUGACAGUGGGCAGCGAGACCGCGAGGUCGAGCUAAUCUCCAAAAACCAUCUCAGUUCGGAUUGCACUCUGCAACUCGAGUGCAUGAAGUUGGAACCGCUAGUAAUCGCGGAUCAGCAUGCCGCGGUCGAAUACGUUCCGGGCCUU